Molecule: ribosomal RNA, 570 nt
Filed under: Trigonopterus sp. 487 AR-2020
Lineage: Eukaryota; Metazoa; Arthropoda; Insecta; Coleoptera; Curculionidae
Description: SSU rRNA
Source: RNAcentral
GUCAUAUGCUUGUCUCAAAGAUUAAGCCAUGCAUGUCUCAGUACAAGCCAAAUUAAGGUGAAACCGCGAAAGGCUCAUUAAAUCAGUUAUGGUUCCUUAGAUCGUACCCACAAUUACUUGGAUAACUGUGGUAAUUCUAGAGCUAAUACAUGCAAACAGAGCUCCGACCGGAGACGGAAGGAGUGCUUUUAUUAGAUCAAAACCAAUCGGUGGCGGGUUCGCGCUCGUCAUCGUACAACUUGGUGACUCUGAAUAACUUUACGCUGAUCGCACGGUCAUCGCACCGGCGACGCAUCUUUCAAAUGUCUGCCUUAUCAACUGUCGAUGGUAGGUUCUGCGCCUACCAUGGUCGUAACGGGUAACGGGGAAUCAGGGUUCGAUUCCGGAGAGGGAGCCUGAGAAACGGCUACCACAUCCAAGGAAGGCAGCAGGCGCGCAAAUUACCCACUCCCGGCACGGGGAGGUAGUGACRAAAAAUAACGAUACGGGACUCAUCCGAGGCCCCGUAAUCGGAAUGARUACACUCUAAACCCUUUAACGAGGAUCAAUUGGAGGGCAAGUCUGGUGCCA